CAACCUCUGACGAUAUACGUGAACGUUG
The submitters of this non-coding RNA (28 nucleotides) gave its source as unclassified sequences. The record is from Rfam.